Molecule: ribosomal RNA, 682 nt
Filed under: uncultured bacterium
Lineage: Bacteria
Description: bacterial SSU rRNA
Rfam family: Bacterial small subunit ribosomal RNA
Source: RNAcentral
AGAGUUUGAUCCUGGCUCAGGACGAACGCUGGCGGCGUGCUUAACACAUGCAAGUCGAGCGAGGAACUUCGGUUCCUAGCGGCGGACGGGUGAGUAACACGUGGGCAACCUGCCUCACAAUGGGGGAUAGCCUUCCGAAAGGAAGAUUAAUACCCCAUAACACAAAGGAAACGCAUGUUUCUUUUGCCAAAGAAUUUCGUUGUGAGAUGGGCCCGCGGCGCAUUAGCUAGUUGGUGAGGCAACGGCUCACCAAGGCGACGAUGCGUAGCCGACCUGAGAGGGUGAUCGGCCACAUUGGAACUGAGACACGGCCCAGACUCCUACGGGAGGCAGCAGUGGGGAAUAUUGCACAAUGGGGGAAACCCUGAUGCAGCAACGCCGCGUGAGUGAUGACGGCCUUCGGGUUGUAAAGCUCUGUCUUCAGGGACGAUAAUGACGGUACCUGAGGAGGAAGCCACGGCUAACUACGUGCCAGCAGCCGCGGUAAUACGUAGGUGGCGAGCGUUGUCCGGAUUUACUGGGCGUAAAGGGAGCGUAGGCGGACUUUUAAGUGAGAUGUGAAAUACCCGGGCUCAACUUGGGUGCUGCAUUUCAAACUGGAAGUCUAGAGUGCAGGAGAGGAGAAUGGAAUUCCUAGUGUAGCGGUGAAAUGCGUAGAGAUUAGGAAGAACACCAGUGGCGA